Zea mays is the source of this 430-nucleotide long non-coding RNA. RefSeq lists it as uncharacterized. NCBI's taxonomy places the organism in Eukaryota, Viridiplantae, Streptophyta, Magnoliopsida, Poales, Poaceae. The record is from RefSeq and is a predicted model, not a curated record. The transcript is spliced from 4 exons.
UGGAUGCCAAAUUCAAGGAAAUAGGGCACAACAACAUGUACUCCCCUCAUGCUACCCCCAACUCAUUGUUCUCCUUUAUGUCACAAAUUAAAAAGUUCAUGAACACCCUGCGACAGUACCAGACCACAGCCAUUAUGAACCUUUAGGAGACGAACGACGAUCGAGAGGCUGUUCUACAAGCUUAUAAUUGAUAAUGUGGCGGAGCUGCUUCAUUUUGUCUACACAACAACUGUAGGUGAGGCCUGCCAGAAAUAUGGGUCCAUCUUUGGACGACCACAGGGUUUGUAUGUCAGCCUGAAGGACAAGGGGAAGGUCCUAGAAGUUCUAAGGAACUGGCCACAUAGGAACAUUCAAGUUAUCUGUGUUACUGAUGGUGAGCAAAUCUUGGGACUUGGAGAUUUGGGUUGGCAGUUAUGAUUGUUUCAUUAGU